RNAcentral lists this ribosomal RNA (252 nucleotides) under uncultured bacterium. RNAcentral's name for it is "partial 16S ribosomal RNA". It matches the Rfam family "Bacterial small subunit ribosomal RNA", at positions 524 to 776 of the family's 1533-position model. The record is from RNAcentral.
UACGUAGGGGGCAAGCGUUGUCCGGAGUUACUGGGCGUAAAGGGCGCGCAGGCGGUUUGCUCAGUUCGAGGUGACAGUGCCCGGCUUACCUGGGCAAGUGCUUCGAAGACGGGCAGACUUGAGGGCCUCAGAGGAACAUGGAAUUCCCGGUGGAGCGGUGAAAUGCGUAGCGAUCGGGAGGAACACCAAGGCGAAGGCAGUGUUCUGGGAGGCAUCUGACGCUCAGGCGCGAAAGCCAGGGGAGCGAACGGG